GCCGGCGUAGCUCAGAUGGCAGAGCAGCUGAUUCGUAAUCAGCAGGUCGACGGUUCAAUUCCGCCCGCCGGCUCCA
RNAcentral lists this transfer RNA (76 nucleotides) under Desulfobacterales bacterium. Its description in RNAcentral is "tRNA-Thr". It matches the Rfam family "tRNA". Rfam says of the family: Transfer RNA (tRNA) molecules are approximately 80 nucleotides in length. Their secondary structure includes four short double-helical elements and three loops (D, anti-codon, and T loops). Further hydrogen bonds mediate the characteristic L-shaped molecular structure. tRNAs have two regions of fundamental functional importance: the anti-codon, which is responsible for specific mRNA codon recognition, and the 3' end, to which the tRNAs corresponding amino acid is attached (by aminoacyl-tRNA synthetases). tRNAs cope with the degeneracy of the genetic code in two manners: having more than one tRNA (with a specific anti-codon) for a particular amino acid; and 'wobble' base-pairing, i.e. permitting non-standard base-pairing at the 3rd anti-codon position. The record is from RNAcentral. Lineage: Bacteria; Pseudomonadati; Thermodesulfobacteriota; Desulfobacteria; Desulfobacterales. RNAcentral also lists the same sequence under 1 other name.